This 260-nucleotide ribosomal RNA is filed under the name uncultured archaeon. Its description in RNAcentral is "partial 16S ribosomal RNA". It matches the Rfam family "Archaeal small subunit ribosomal RNA", at positions 748 to 1008 of the family's 1478-position model. The record is from RNAcentral.
AGGGUGUAAACGCUGCAGACUUGGUGUUGGAGGCCCUUUGGGGGCAUUCAGUGCCGGAGAGAAGUUGUUAAGUCUGCUACUUGGGAGUACGUCCGCAAGGAUGAAACUUAAAGGAAUUGGCGGGGGAGCACCGCAACGGGAGGAGCGUGCGGUUUAAUUGGAUUCAACGCCGAAAAACUCACCAGCAGCGACUGUUACAUGAAAGUCAGGUUGAUGACCUUACUAGAUUUUCAGAGAGGUGGUGCAUGGCGUCAGUGACU